RNAcentral lists this ribosomal RNA (416 nucleotides) under uncultured prokaryote. Its description in RNAcentral is "bacterial SSU rRNA". It matches the Rfam family "Bacterial small subunit ribosomal RNA", at positions 505 to 918 of the family's 1533-position model. The record is from RNAcentral.
GUGCCAGCAGCCGCGGUAAGACGGAGGAGGCAAGCGUUGUCCGGAAUCAUUGGGCGUAAAGAGCGCGUAGGCGGUUUUUCAAGUCGUAUGUGAAAACUUCAGGCUUAACCUGAUGAUUGCAUAUGAAACUGGAUAACUUGAGUACAGCAGAGGAAAGUGGAAUUCCUGGUGUAGCGGUGAAAUGUGCAGAUAUCAGGAAGAACACCAGUAGCGAAGGCGGCUUUCUGGGCUGUUACUGACGCUGAGGCGCGAAAGCUAGGGGAGCGAACAGGAUUAGAUACCCUGGUAGUCCUAGCCGUAAACGAUGGACACUAGGCGUGGGAAGUUAUCGACGCUUUCUGUGCCGAAGCUAACGCAUUAAGUGUCCCGCCUGGGGAGUACGGCCGCAAGGCUAAAACUUAAAUGAAUUGACGGGG